CGUACACUCCUGCGGGAGGCAGCAGUGGGGAAUAUUGGACAAUGGGCGCAAGCCUGAUCCAGCCAUGCCGCGUGAGUGAUGAAGGCCCUAGGGUUGUAAAGCUCUUUUGUGCGGGAAGAUAAUGACGGUACCGCAAGAAUAAGCCCCGGCUAACUUCGUGCCAGCAGCCGCGGUAAUACGAAGGGGGCUAGCGUUGCUCGGAAUCACUGGGCGUAAAGGGUGCGUAGGCGGGUCUUUAAGUCAGGGGUGAAAUCCUGGAGCUCAACUCCAGAACUGCCUUUGAUACUGAAGAUCUUGAGUUCGGGAGAGGUGAGUGGAACUGCGAGUGUAGAGGUGAAAUUCGUAGAUAUUCGCAAGAACACCAGUGGCGAAGGCGGCUCACUGGCCCGAUACUGACGCUGAGGCACGAAAGCGUGGGGAGCAAACAGGAUUAGAUACCCUUGUAGUCCCAUGA
This 454-nucleotide ribosomal RNA is filed under the name uncultured organism. RNAcentral's name for it is "partial 16S ribosomal RNA". It matches the Rfam family "Bacterial small subunit ribosomal RNA", at positions 330 to 800 of the family's 1533-position model. The record is from RNAcentral.